Molecule: ribosomal RNA, 484 nt
Filed under: uncultured bacterium
Lineage: Bacteria
Description: partial 16S ribosomal RNA
Rfam family: Bacterial small subunit ribosomal RNA
Source: RNAcentral
AUUGAACGCUGGCGGCAUGCUUUACACAUGCAAGUCGAACGGCAGCGCGGGCUUCGGCCUGGCGGCGAGUGGCGAACGGGUGAGUAAUACAUCGGAACGUGCCCAGUAGUGGGGGAUAGCUCGGCGAAAGCCGGAUUGAUACCGCAUACGACCUGAGGGUGAAAGCGGGGGAUCUUCGGACCUCGCGCUAUUGGAGCGGCCGAUGGCAGAUUAGCUAGUUGGUGGGGUAAAGGCCUACCAAGGCGACGAUCUGUAGCUGGUCUGAGAGGACGACCAGCCACACUGGGACUGAGACACGGCCCAGACUCCUACGGGAGGCAGCAGUGGGGAAUUUUGGACAAUGGGCGAAAGCCUGAUCCAGCAAUGCCGCGUGUGUGAUGAAGGCCUUCGGGUUGUAAAGCACUUUUGGCGGGAACGAAAAGGACUGUGCCAAUACCACGGUUCGAUGACGGUACCCGCAGAAUAAGCACCGGCUAACUACGUG